Molecule: ribosomal RNA, 450 nt
Filed under: uncultured bacterium
Lineage: Bacteria
Description: partial 16S ribosomal RNA
Rfam family: Bacterial small subunit ribosomal RNA
Source: RNAcentral
GUGGGGAAUAUUGGACAAUGGGCGAAAGCCUGAUCCAGCCAUGCCGCGUGUGUGAAGAAGGUCUUCGGAUUGUAAAGCACUUUAAGUUGGGAGGAAGGGCAGUAAGUUAAUACCUUGCUGUUUUGACGUUACCGACAGAAUAAGCACCGGCUAACUUCGUGCAAGCAGCCGCGGUAAUACGAAGGGUGCAAGCGUUAAUCGGAAUUACUGGUCGUAAAGCGCGCGUAGGUGGUUUUGUAAGUUGGAGGUGAAAUCCCCGGGCUCAACCUGGGAACUGCCUCCAAAACUGCAUGACUAGAGUACGGUAGAGGGUAGUGGAAUUUCCUGUGUAGCGGUGAAAUGCGUAGAUAUAGGAAGGAACACCAGUGGCGAAGGCGACUACCUGGACUGAUACUGACACUGAGGUGCGAAAGCGUGGGGAGCAAACAGGAUUAGAAACCCUGGUAGUCC